This 2152-nucleotide ribosomal RNA is filed under the name Pseudomonas aeruginosa. Its description in RNAcentral is "partial 23S ribosomal RNA". It matches the Rfam family "Bacterial large subunit ribosomal RNA", at positions 1 to 2191 of the family's 2925-position model. Lineage: Bacteria; Pseudomonadati; Pseudomonadota; Gammaproteobacteria; Pseudomonadales; Pseudomonadaceae. The record is from RNAcentral.
GGUCAAGUGAAGAAGCGCAUACGGUGGAUGCCUUGGCAGUCAGAGGCGAUGAAAGACGUGGUAGCCUGCGAAAAGCUUCGGGGAGUCGGCAAACAGACUUUGAUCCGGAGAUCUCUGAAUGGGGGAACCCACCUAGGAUAACCUAGGUAUCUUGUACUGAAUCCAUAGGUGCAAGAGGCGAACCAGGGGAACUGAAACAUCUAAGUACCCUGAGGAAAAGAAAUCAACCGAGAUUCCCUUAGUAGUGGCGAGCGAACGGGGAUUAGCCCUUAAGCUUCAUUGAUUUUAGCGGAACGCUCUGGAAAGUGCGGCCAUAGUGGGUGAUAGCCCCGUACGCGAAAGGAUCUUUGAAGUGAAAUCGAGUAGGACGGAGCACGAGAAACUUUGUCUGAACAUGGGGGGACCAUCCUCCAAGGCUAAAUACUACUGACUGACCGAUAGUGAACCAGUACCGUGAGGGAAAGGCGAAAAGAACCCCGGAGAGGGGAGUGAAAUAGAACCUGAAACCGUAUGCGUACAAGCAGUGGGAGCCUACUUGUUAGGUGACUGCGUACCUUUUGUAUAAUGGGUCAGCGACUUAUAUUCAGUGGCAAGCUUAACCGUAUAGGGUAGGCGUAGCGAAAGCGAGUCUUAAUAGGGCGUUUAGUCGCUGGGUAUAGACCCGAAACCGGGCGAUCUAUCCAUGAGCAGGUUGAAGGUUAGGUAACACUGACUGGAGGACCGAACCCACUCCCGUUGAAAAGGUAGGGGAUGACUUGUGGAUCGGAGUGAAAGGCUAAUCAAGCUCGGAGAUAGCUGGUUCUCCUCGAAAGCUAUUUAGGUAGCGCCUCAUGUAUCACUCUGGGGGGUAGAGCACUGUUUCGGCUAGGGGGUCAUCCCGACUUACCAAACCGAUGCAAACUCCGAAUACCCAGAAGUGCCGAGCAUGGGAGACACACGGCGGGUGCUAACGUCCGUCGUGAAAAGGGAAACAACCCAGACCGCCAGCUAAGGUCCCAAAGUUGUGGUUAAGUGGUAAACGAUGUGGGAAGGCUUAGACAGCUAGGAGGUUGGCUUAGAAGCAGCCACCCUUUAAAGAAAGCGUAAUAGCUCACUAGUCGAGUCGGCCUGCGCGGAAGAUGUAACGGGGCUCAAACCACACACCGAAGCUGCGGGUGUCACGUAAGUGACGCGGUAGAGGAGCGUUCUGUAAGCCUGUGAAGGUGAGUUGAGAAGCUUGCUGGAGGUAUCAGAAGUGCGAAUGCUGACAUGAGUAACGACAAUGGGUGUGAAAAACACCCACGCCGAAAGACCAAGGGUUCCUGCGCAACGUUAAUCGACGCAGGGUUAGUCGGUUCCUAAGGCGAGGCUGAAAAGCGUAGUCGAUGGGAAACAGGUUAAUAUUCCUGUACUUCUGGUUACUGCGAUGGAGGGACGGAGAAGGCUAGGCCAGCUUGGCGUUGGUUGUCCAAGUUUAAGGUGGUAGGCUGAAAUCUUAGGUAAAUCCGGGGUUUCAAGGCCGAGAGCUGAUGACGAGUCGUCUUUUAGAUGACGAAGUGGUUGAUGCCAUGCUUCCAAGAAAAGCUUCUAAGCUUCAGGUAACCAGGAACCGUACCCCAAACCGACACAGGUGGUCGGGUAGAGAAUACCAAGGCGCUUGAGAGAACUCGGGUGAAGGAACUAGGCAAAAUGGCACCGUAACUUCGGGAGAAGGUGCGCCGGCUAGGGUGAAGGAUUUACUCCGUAAGCUCUGGCUGGUCGAAGAUACCAGGCCGCUGCGACUGUUUAUUAAAAACACAGCACUCUGCAAACACGAAAGUGGACGUAUAGGGUGUGACGCCUGCCCGGUGCCGGAAGGUUAAUUGAUGGGGUUAGCGCAAGCGAAGCUCUUGAUCGAAGCCCCGGUAAACGGCGGCCGUAACUAUAACGGUCCUAAGGUAGCGAAAUUCCUUGUCGGGUAAGUUCCGACCUGCACGAAUGGCGUAACGAUGGCGGCGCUGUCUCCACCCGAGACUCAGUGAAAUUGAAAUCGCUGUGAAGAUGCAGUGUAUCCGCGGCUAGACGGAAAGACCCCGUGAACCUUUACUGUAGCUUUGCACUGGACUUUGAGCCUGCUUGUGUAGGAUAGGUGGGAGGCUUUGAAGCGUGGACGCCAGUUCGCGUGGAGCCAUCC